UCCCCAAUAGUUCAGUUGGUAGAACGGCGGACUGUUACACCGUAUGUCCCUGGUUCAAGUGCAGAUUGGGGAG
Molecule: transfer RNA, 73 nt
Filed under: Shewanella sp. SG44-6
Lineage: Bacteria; Pseudomonadati; Pseudomonadota; Gammaproteobacteria; Alteromonadales; Shewanellaceae
Description: tRNA-Asn
Rfam family: tRNA
About the family: Transfer RNA (tRNA) molecules are approximately 80 nucleotides in length. Their secondary structure includes four short double-helical elements and three loops (D, anti-codon, and T loops). Further hydrogen bonds mediate the characteristic L-shaped molecular structure. tRNAs have two regions of fundamental functional importance: the anti-codon, which is responsible for specific mRNA codon recognition, and the 3' end, to which the tRNAs corresponding amino acid is attached (by aminoacyl-tRNA synthetases). tRNAs cope with the degeneracy of the genetic code in two manners: having more than one tRNA (with a specific anti-codon) for a particular amino acid; and 'wobble' base-pairing, i.e. permitting non-standard base-pairing at the 3rd anti-codon position.
Source: RNAcentral